UACGUAGGGUGCAAGCGUUGUCCGGAAUUAUUGGGCGUAAAGAGCUCGUAGGCGGCUUCGUCGCGUCGGCUGUGAAAACCUGGGGCUCAACCCCGGGCCUGCAGCCGAUACGGGCGAGCUAGAAUUCGGUAGGGGAGACUGGAAGUUCCUGGUGUAGCGGUGAAAUGCGCAGAUAUCAGGAGGAACACCGGUGGCGAAGGCGGGUCUCUGGGCAGUAACUGACGCUGAGGAGCGAAAGCGUGGGGAGCGAACAGG
RNAcentral lists this ribosomal RNA (255 nucleotides) under uncultured bacterium. Its description in RNAcentral is "partial 16S ribosomal RNA". It matches the Rfam family "Bacterial small subunit ribosomal RNA", at positions 524 to 776 of the family's 1533-position model. The record is from RNAcentral.